RNAcentral lists this ribosomal RNA (761 nucleotides) under Bacillus sp. RSK-04. RNAcentral describes it as "bacterial SSU rRNA". It matches the Rfam family "Bacterial small subunit ribosomal RNA", at positions 52 to 787 of the family's 1533-position model. The record is from RNAcentral. Lineage: Bacteria; Bacillati; Bacillota; Bacilli; Caryophanales; Bacillaceae.
UACAUGCAAGUCGAGCGGACAGAAGGGAGCUUGCUCCCGGCAUGUUAGCGGCGGACGGGUGAGUAACACGUGGGUAACCUGCCUGUAAGACUGGGAUAACUCCGGGAAACCGGAGCUAAUACCGGAUAGUUCCUUGAACCGCAUGGUUCAAGGAUGAAAGACGGUUUCGGCUGUCACUUACAGAUGGACCCGCGGCGCAUUAGCUAGUUGGUGAGGUAACGGCUCACCAAGGCGACGAUGCGUAGCCGACCUGAGAGGGUGAUCGGCCACACUGGGACUGAGACACGGCCCAGACUCCUACGGGAGGCAGCAGUAGGGAAUCUUCCGCAAUGGACGAAAGUCUGACGGAGCAACGCCGCGUGAGUGAUGAAGGUUUUCGGAUCGUAAAGCUCUGUUGUUAGGGAAGAACAAGUGCAAGAGUAACUGCUUGCACCUUGACGGUACCUAACCAGAAAGCCACGGCUAACUACGUGCCAGCAGCCGCGGUAAUACGUAGGUGGCAAGCGUGGGCCGGAAUUAUUGGGCGUAAAGGGCUCGCAGGCGGUUUCUUAAGUCUGAUGUGAAAGCCCCCGGCUCAACCGGGGAGGGUCAUUGGAAACUGGGAAACUUGAGUGCAGAAGAGGAGAGUGGAAAUUCCACGUGUAGCGGUGAAAUGCGUAGAAGAUGUGGAAGGAACACCCAGUGGCGAACGCGACUCUCUGGUCUGUAACUGAACGCUGACGAUCGAAAAGCGAUAGGGAGCGAACAGAAUUAGAAUACCC